GAACAUGGCUUCUCAAAAAUUGAGAUUUUGUUAUGACUUAUGUAAAAGAUCCUCCUUCAAAGGUUUUAAAUGAAUAUCCAUUUUUUGUUGGAUUUAUUAUUUGAAGGAUUUUUAACAAGAGAACAUAUGAUUGGUCUUCAUGAGAAUAAUUUGUGUGUCUACUCUCCAUAAAAUUAGAAUUUGGUCUAAGAAUAAUAGUUCUUGCACAUUAUGUUCAUAA
RNAcentral lists this long non-coding RNA (220 nucleotides) under Trifolium pratense (red clover). Its description in RNAcentral is "long non-coding RNA (TPRA_LNC006659)". Lineage: Eukaryota; Viridiplantae; Streptophyta; Magnoliopsida; Fabales; Fabaceae. The record is from RNAcentral.